This 203-nucleotide long non-coding RNA is filed under the name Elaeis guineensis (African oil palm). RNAcentral describes it as "long non-coding RNA (EGUI_LNC059713)". Lineage: Eukaryota; Viridiplantae; Streptophyta; Magnoliopsida; Arecales; Arecaceae. The record is from RNAcentral.
AAGUGCCCACUGAGCUCCGCCACCAGUCGACUUUCUACGACUAUCAGUCGUUCCCCGAAUCCCUUCCAGACUCCUUCCAGCCAGGUUCAACUCCAAUCCGAACUACACCGGACUCCGCCAACGGCUGAACUUCUCCGACGGUAGAUUCCUACAACUACCAAACUACGUCUGGACUCCUACGGGAGCUGGACUUCACCCACAAC